This 253-nucleotide ribosomal RNA is filed under the name uncultured bacterium. Its description in RNAcentral is "partial 16S ribosomal RNA". It matches the Rfam family "Bacterial small subunit ribosomal RNA", at positions 524 to 776 of the family's 1533-position model. The record is from RNAcentral.
UACGUAGGGACCGAGCGUUGUCCGGAUUCAUUGGGCGUAAAGAGCUCGUAGGCGGUCUGUCGCGUCUGCUGUGAAAACCUGGGGCUUAACCCCGGGCCUGCAGUGGGUACGGGCAGACUAGAGUGCGGUAGGGGAGACUGGAAUUCCUGGUGUAGCGGUGAAAUGCGCAGAUAUCAGGAGGAACACCGGUGGCGAAGGCGGGUCUCUGGGCCGUAACUGACGCUGAGGAGCGAAAGCAUGGGGAGCGAACAGG